AUGAGGAAAAUAAGGUGUUCUAAUUUCUCAUGGGACUUAAUGAGACAUAUAUGGGGGUAAGGAGCAACUUGUUGAUGAUGCAACCUCCCCCUAGUCUUGACAGUGUGUAUAACAUCCUCCUCAAUGAUGAGAAACAAAGACAAGUCCACUCCAACUCUCAAUUCAAUCAUGAUUCCAUGUCUUUCAGUGUUAAUGCAAACAAAUAUGAAACAAUGACAAGUCCAAUCCAACUCUCAUAUCAAUCCCGAUUCCAUGUCUUUCAGUGUUAAUGCAAACAAAUAUCCUGCAUCUUCUCUUGGAAUGAACCAAGCUGCAGUACCUAAUCCUUCUUCUCUCAGACAACAUACACAAAGAGUCAGUUUUGAUCAGUCAAAGAGGACUUUAUUCUAUUAAGGAGAUCCACUAGAGAGAGGGUCUUUCAGUGUUAAUGCAAACAAAUAUCCUGCAUCUUCUCUUGGAAUGAAUCAAGCUGCAGUACCUAAUCCUUCUUCUCUCAGACAACAUACACAAAGAGUCAGUUUUGAUCAGUCAAAGGGGACUUUAUUCUGUAGAUAAUGCAAGAAAUCUGGGCACUUAAUUGAUAAGUGAUACAAGCUUUAUGGGUAUCCACAAAACCUCAAGUUUAACAAAGUAAGAAAACUGUUGCUCACUUCAAUCUUUCUGAAGGGCACACAUCAGAUCUUACUAGUAAUUCCACUGAGGGUCAGCAAUCUGCUCCAAAUGUGGAUGAACAAAGUUCUGUGGUUCCAGGUUUGAGCAUACAACAAUAUGGUCAAUUGAUGACUUUGCUUCAACAGACUCAGUUGGGAGACUCCAAUACACAAGCUCUUACUCCCAUGUGUACUGCCAACUUUGUUGGUACUAUGCUAACUGAGAAUCAUGUUUCUGCUUCCAAACUCUGUAUGCUUACUCAAAUCAACUCUAUUUCUUGGAUAAUACACUCAGGGGCUUCUGACCAUAUGACAUCUAAUAAAG
Molecule: long non-coding RNA, 975 nt
Filed under: Nicotiana benthamiana
Lineage: Eukaryota; Viridiplantae; Streptophyta; Magnoliopsida; Solanales; Solanaceae
Description: long non-coding RNA (NBEN_LNC018657)
Source: RNAcentral